RNAcentral lists this ribosomal RNA (378 nucleotides) under Frankia sp. RNAcentral's name for it is "bacterial SSU rRNA". It matches the Rfam family "Bacterial small subunit ribosomal RNA", at positions 28 to 416 of the family's 1533-position model. Lineage: Bacteria; Bacillati; Actinomycetota; Actinomycetes; Frankiales; Frankiaceae. The record is from RNAcentral.
GACGAACGCUGGCGGCGUGCUUAACACAUGCAAGUCGAGCGAGGGGCUUCGGCUCCUAGCGGCGAACGGGUGAGUAACACGUGGGCAACCUGCCCCGAGCUCUGGAAUAACCUCGGGAAACCGGGGCUAAUGCCGGAUAUGACAUCACUGGGCAUCCGGUGGUGUGGAAAGAUUUAUCGGCUCGGGAUGGGCCCGCGGCCUAUCAGCUUGUUGGUGGGGUGAUGGCCUACCAAGGCGACGACGGGUAGCCGGCCUGAGAGGGCGACCGGCCACACUGGGACUGAGACACGGCCCAGACUCCUACGGGAGGCAGCAGUGGGGAAUAUUGCGCAAUGGGCGAAAGCCUGACGCAGCGACGCCGCGUGAGGGAUGACGGCC